CCUACGGGGGGCUGCAGUGGGGAAUAUUGGACAAUGGGCGCAAGCCUGAUCCAGCAAUACCGCGUGUGUGAAGAAGGCCUUAGGGUUGUAAAGCACUUUCAAUGGGGAGGAAAACCUACCGGUCAAUACCCGGUAGCUUGACAUUACCUGUAGAAGAAGCACCGGCUCACUCCGUGCCAGCAGCCGCGGUAAUACGGAGGGGGCAAGCGUUAAUCGGAGUGUCUGGGCGUAGAGCGUGAAGUCACAUGUGAAAGCCCCGGGCGUAAGCUGGGAACUGCAUUUGAAACUGGCGGACUAGAGUUGAGUAGAGGGGAGUGGAAUUUCAGGUGUAGCGGUGAAAUGCGUAGAUAUCUGAAGGAACACCAGUGGCGAAGGCGACUCCCUGGACUCAAACUGACGCUGAGGUACGAAAGCGUGGGUAGCAAACAGGAUUAGAUACCCUUGUAGUC
This 449-nucleotide ribosomal RNA is filed under the name uncultured bacterium. RNAcentral's name for it is "partial 16S ribosomal RNA". It matches the Rfam family "Bacterial small subunit ribosomal RNA", at positions 338 to 795 of the family's 1533-position model. The record is from RNAcentral.